This 413-nucleotide ribosomal RNA is filed under the name uncultured prokaryote. RNAcentral describes it as "bacterial SSU rRNA". It matches the Rfam family "Bacterial small subunit ribosomal RNA", at positions 505 to 918 of the family's 1533-position model. The record is from RNAcentral.
GUGUCAGCAGCCGCGGUAAUACGAAGGGGGCUAGCGUUGUUCGGAAUUACUGGGCGUAAAGCGCGCGUAGGCGGACUGGUCAGUCAGGGGUGAAAUCCCGGGGCUUAACCUCGGAACUGCCUUUGAUACUGCCAGUCUCGAGUCCGGAAGAGGUGAGUGGAAUUCCUAGUGUAGAGGUGAAAUUCGUAGAUAUUAGGAAGAACACCGGUGGCGAAGGCGGCUCACUGGUCCGGUACUGACGCUGAGGCGCGAAAGCGUGGGGAGCAAACAGGAUUAGAUACCCUGGUAGUCCACGCCGUAAACGAUGGAUGCUAGCCGUUGGACAGCAUGCUGUUCAGUGGCGCAGCUAACGCAUUAAGCUCUCCGCCUGGGGAGUACGGUCUCAAGAUUAAAACUCAAAUGAAUUGGCGGGG